AGAUUAAGCCAUGCAUGUCUCAGUAUAAUUUUUUUACGGUGAAACUGCGAAUGGCUCAUUAAAACAGUUAUAGUUUACUUGAUGGCCACUUACUAGUUGGAUAACUGUAGUAAUUCUAGAGCUAAUACAUGCUUUCAGACCCGACUUCGAGGGAGGGUUGUGCUUAUUAGAUACUGAACCAACCCGCUUCGGCGGUUGUUAGUUGAUUCAUAGUAUUCCAGCGAAUCGCUUCACGCGAUGAAUCAUUCAAGUUUCUGACCUAUCAGCUUUCGAUGGUAAGGUAUUGGCUUACCAUGGCUUUGACGGGUAACGGAGAAUAAGGGUUCGAUUCCGGAGAGGGAGCCUGAGAAAUGGCUACCACAUCUAAGGAAGGCAGCAGGCGCGUAAAUUACCCAAUCCUGACACAGGGAGGUAGUGACAAGAAAUACCAAUACAAAACUUAUAUGUUGUGUAAUUGGAAUGAGAACAAUCUAAACCCAUUACCGAGUAUCCAUUGGAGGGCAAGUCUGGU
Molecule: ribosomal RNA, 511 nt
Filed under: uncultured marine eukaryote
Lineage: Eukaryota
Description: SSU rRNA
Rfam family: Eukaryotic small subunit ribosomal RNA
Source: RNAcentral